GGAAUCCAGUCUGGUAAGGCCUAGCAAGCCGCCAAUACCGAGUCUUUGGAGCGCCAAAGGCUAACAAUGGUGUUUAAGCGUAGGACAGGGAACAGGAACGUCGUAAUGCGAAAGCAUGAAGUGAUUGAGCUUCGUUAGAGUUAUCGAUUGUGUGGGGGCUGGCACAUCCUUGGGUCACCAAUAAGGAGUAGUCGUUAAAGCGAGACUAUGAAAACGCACCGGAGUCCUAGAGCA
Non-coding RNA from Lachnoclostridium sp. An298, 234 nucleotides. The record is from Rfam. Lineage: Bacteria; Bacillati; Bacillota; Clostridia; Lachnospirales; Lachnospiraceae.